RNAcentral lists this ribosomal RNA (253 nucleotides) under uncultured bacterium. RNAcentral describes it as "partial 16S ribosomal RNA". It matches the Rfam family "Bacterial small subunit ribosomal RNA", at positions 524 to 776 of the family's 1533-position model. The record is from RNAcentral.
UACGUAGGGGGCAAGUGUUGUCCGGAAUUAUUGGGCGUAAAGCGCGUGUAGGCGGUCCGGUAAGUCGGCUGUGAAAGUCCAGGGCUCAACCCUGGGAUGCCGGUCGAUACUGCCGGACUAGAGUUCGGAAGAGGCGAGUGGAAUUCCCGGUGUGGCGGUGAAAUGCGCAGAUAUCGGGAGGAACACCAAUGGCGAAGGCAGCUCGCUGGGACGUUACUGACGCUGAGACGCGAAAGCGUGGGGAGCAAACAGG